UACGUAGGGUGCGAGCGUUGUCCGGAAUUAUUGGGCGUAAAGAGCUUGUAGGCGGUUUGUCGCGUCUGCCGUGAAAAUCCGGGGCUCAACCCCGGACUUGCGGUGGGUACGGGCAGACUAGAGUGUGGUAGGGGAGGCUGGAAUUCUUGGUGUAGCGGUGAAAUGCGCAGAUAUCAGGAGGAACACCGAUGGCGAAGGCAGGUCUCUGGGCCACUACUGACGCUGAGAAGCGAAAGCAUGGGGAGCGAACAGG
RNAcentral lists this ribosomal RNA (253 nucleotides) under uncultured bacterium. Its description in RNAcentral is "partial 16S ribosomal RNA". It matches the Rfam family "Bacterial small subunit ribosomal RNA", at positions 524 to 776 of the family's 1533-position model. The record is from RNAcentral.